RNAcentral lists this ribosomal RNA (407 nucleotides) under uncultured Actinomycetales bacterium. RNAcentral's name for it is "bacterial SSU rRNA". It matches the Rfam family "Bacterial small subunit ribosomal RNA", at positions 355 to 774 of the family's 1533-position model. Lineage: Bacteria; Bacillati; Actinomycetota; Actinomycetes; Actinomycetales. The record is from RNAcentral.
UGGGGAAUAUUGCACAAUGGGCGCAAGCCUGAUGCAGCAACGCCGCGUGGGGGAUGAAGGCCUUCGGGUUGUAAACCCCUUUUAGCAGGGAAGAAGCGAAAGUGACGGUACCUGCAGAAAAAGCGCCGGCUAACUACGUGCCAGCAGCCGCGGUAAUACGUAGGGCGCAAGCGUUGUCCGGAAUUAUUGGGCGUAAAGAGCUCGUAGGCGGUUUGUCGCGUCUGCUGUGAAAGUUCGAGGCUCAACCUCGAAUCUGCAGUGGGUACGGGCAGACUAGAGUGUGGUAGGGGAGACUGGAAUUCCUGGUGUAGCGGUGGAAUGCGCAGAUAUCAGGAGGAACACCAAUGGCGAAGGCAGGUCUCUGGGCCAUAACUGACGCUGAGGAGCGAAAGCGUGGGGAGCGAACA